UCCAUCAUUGAGUUGGGCACUCUAAAGGGACUGCCGGUGUUAAACCGGAGGAAGGUGGGGAUGACGUCAAGUCCUCAUGGCCUUUAUGUCCAGGGCUACACACGUACUACAAUGGGCGGUACAAAGGGAAGCGAGCCCGCGAGGGGGAGCCAAUCCCAAAAAGCCGUUCACAGUUCGGAUUGGAGUCUGCAACUCGACUCCAUGAAGUUGGAAUCGCUAGUAAUCGCGGAUCAGCAUGCCGCGGUGAAUACGUUCCCGGGUCUUGUACACACCG
RNAcentral lists this ribosomal RNA (274 nucleotides) under uncultured bacterium. RNAcentral describes it as "partial 16S ribosomal RNA". It matches the Rfam family "Bacterial small subunit ribosomal RNA", at positions 1117 to 1392 of the family's 1533-position model. The record is from RNAcentral.